GUCUCGUCCAAUCGAAAAAUUCUUACUCGGUUUAGUAGUGUGUUGGUUGAAUUAAAUUACUUGCUUUAAGUAAAGAACUGUCAAAUAAGUGUAUUUGUAAUAUUAUUUCAGUGACUCGUAGUUAUUAGGAUAUGAAUGUGAUCAUUUUCCUCUUUUACCGUUAAAUGGUGUCUGUAAAAAUGAAAAGUAUUGAAUGGGCCUCGUACUUGACGGCCCAAUGUACGUACCUCAGGCUUUCUCGUCGCCAACCAAAAGAGUUUUUAAUUUAAUUUAAAUUAUCAUAUUUACAUUCGCUGUGAAAUAAAAGUAUUCUCUAGCAUUAGUGUUUAAUUGGAUAAAUGAAUCGUUUCAAAGUUGGUGUCACUGAAUUUGUCCAGCAUCUACCUAACCUAUCAACUGUGGUGAAAUAUAAGUGAAUUUAAUCAAAAGUGCAAACAUUUUUCUACUACAUCCAUUAUUAUUUCGUGGACCAAUAGUCAUUUUAAAAUAUAAAUAAGUACAUGUGAAUCUAAAUUCUUCAGUGCCAAAUUUUUUUAAUCAAACACCAAACCAAUGCAUGGAUAUUGAAAUAUAUAAUUGUAAAGUUAAGUAUUUAUACCAAUGACUAUGAAGAAGUGAUAUUGUUUAUUUUCUGUUUCUGAUAUUCUUCAUCGCACCUAUUGAGUAUUUACAAUUUAGUGAAGAUGUCGGGUACAUUUGUGGAUCGAAUAGACCCAUUUGCAAAGAGAUCACUUAAGAAAAAAAGUAAAAAGUCUCAGGGAUCAUCCCGAUAUAGAAAUUCACAGGA
Long non-coding RNA from Ctenocephalides felis (cat flea), 787 nucleotides. RefSeq lists it as uncharacterized. The record is from RefSeq and is a predicted model, not a curated record. NCBI's taxonomy places the organism in Eukaryota, Metazoa, Arthropoda, Insecta, Siphonaptera, Pulicidae. The transcript has 2 exons.